RNAcentral lists this ribosomal RNA (424 nucleotides) under uncultured bacterium. RNAcentral's name for it is "bacterial SSU rRNA". It matches the Rfam family "Bacterial small subunit ribosomal RNA", at positions 114 to 551 of the family's 1533-position model. The record is from RNAcentral.
CGUGUGGGUAACCUGCCUUUUACUGGGGAAUAAUCACUGGAAACGGUGACUAAUACCGCAUAAUAUUCUUAGGAGGCAUCUUCUGAGAAGGAAAGGAGAAAUUCGGUAAAAGAUGGGCCCGCAUCUGAUUAGCUAGUUGGUGAGAUAACAGCCCACCAAGGCGACGAUCAGUAGCCGACCUGAUAGGGUGACCGGCCACAUCGGGACUGAGACACGGCCCAAACUCCUACGGGAGGCAGCAGUGGGGAAUAUUGCACAAUGGGGGAAACCCUGAUGCAGCAACGCCGCGUGAAGGAAGACGGUUUUCGGAUUGUAAACUUCUAUCAAUAGGGAAGAAAGAAAUGACGGUACCUAAAUAAGAAGCCCCGGCUAACUACGUGCCAGCAGCCGCGGUAAUACGUAGGGGGCAAGCGUUAUCCGGAAU